RNAcentral lists this transfer RNA (72 nucleotides) under Halothece sp. PCC 7418. Its description in RNAcentral is "tRNA-Thr (CGT) (tRNA-Thr-CGT-1-1)". It matches the Rfam family "tRNA". From Rfam's summary of the family: Transfer RNA (tRNA) molecules are approximately 80 nucleotides in length. Their secondary structure includes four short double-helical elements and three loops (D, anti-codon, and T loops). Further hydrogen bonds mediate the characteristic L-shaped molecular structure. tRNAs have two regions of fundamental functional importance: the anti-codon, which is responsible for specific mRNA codon recognition, and the 3' end, to which the tRNAs corresponding amino acid is attached (by aminoacyl-tRNA synthetases). tRNAs cope with the degeneracy of the genetic code in two manners: having more than one tRNA (with a specific anti-codon) for a particular amino acid; and 'wobble' base-pairing, i.e. permitting non-standard base-pairing at the 3rd anti-codon position. Lineage: Bacteria; Bacillati; Cyanobacteriota; Cyanophyceae; Chroococcales; Halothecacae. The record is from Rfam by way of RNAcentral.
GCCAGCAUAGCUCAGCGGUAGAGCAACUCACUCGUAAUGAGUAGGUCAGGAGUUCAAAUCUCCUUGCUGGCU